CCUACGGGAGGCAGCAGUGAGGAAUAUUGGUCAAUGGGCGCGAGCCUGAACCAGCCAAGUAGCGUGAAGGAUGACUUCCCUACGGGUUGUAAGCUUCUUUUAUAAAGGAAUAAAGUGAGGCACGUGUGCCUUUUGGUACGUACUUUAUGAAUAAGGCUCGGCUAACUCCGUGCCCGCAGCCGCGGUAAUACGGAGGAGCCGAGCGUUAUCCGGAUUUAGUGGGUUUAAGGGGAGCGUAGAUGGGUUGUUAAGUCAGUUGUGAAAGUUUGCGGCUCAACCGUAAAAUUGCAAGUGAUACUGGCAGUCUUGAGUACAGGUGAGGUAGGCGGAAUUCGUGGUGUAGCGGUGAAAUGCGUAGAUAUCACGACGAACUCCGAUGGCGAAGGCAGCUUACUAAACUGCCACUGACAUUGAUGCUCGAAAGUGUGGGUAUCAAACAGGAUUAGAUACCCGGGUAGUC
Molecule: ribosomal RNA, 460 nt
Filed under: uncultured bacterium
Lineage: Bacteria
Description: partial 16S ribosomal RNA
Rfam family: Bacterial small subunit ribosomal RNA
Source: RNAcentral